RNAcentral lists this unclassified non-coding RNA (3208 nucleotides) under Portunus trituberculatus (swimming crab). Its description in RNAcentral is "short coiled-coil protein-like, transcript variant X2". The record is from RNAcentral. Lineage: Eukaryota; Metazoa; Arthropoda; Malacostraca; Decapoda; Portunidae.
UUUAAGGUGUAGCUCAUGACGUGUGUAAUAAAGCGUGCGUGCUAUUUUUUGGUGAAUCUGGAUAAAAAGAACCACAGUCAACUGCUUUCCCCCGCCAGGAACUGUGAGGAGUGUGAGGCAGCCAUGUCCAGCUACCAGGAUGACAACAGUAUUCCCUUGGUGGAUGAUGAUCCCUCAGUGGUGCUGGAUGAUGACAGAACAGCUGCCUCUGAAAUCUCUGACUCCACAAGGGGACAGAGCCUGGAGUCCAUUCCCUCCUCUUAUACUAAUGGUUCCACCAGUCCCCUCCACAACAGUGAGUUCCUCAGUCCCUUCAUAGGUAGUGGUCUGGAACCAGACAUUUCACCUGAUGAGCAGGAGGAGAAGGCCCGCCUUAUUGCUCAGGUGUUGGAGCUCCAAAAUACUCUUGAUGAUCUCUCCCAACGAGUGGACAGCGUCAAGGAGGAGAACCUGAAGUUGCGUUCUGAGAACCAGGUGUUGGGUCAGUACAUUGAGAACCUCAUGUCUGCCUCAUCAGUAUUCCAGUCCACCUCCCCCAAGACCAAGAAAAAUAAACAGUGGAGGCAGUUUGAGGCUUGAAGUGGUGGGAGAUUCUCGCAGAGGCACCUAACUCCCUCCUACUAGUGUUAUGGUCAGAGCGUCUUCUGUAGUGCCGUCAGGGGCAAGCCUGGACCUAUCUAGUCAACCCUGGCGUGUCACCCUGCGAGGCCCCACUCCACUGCAGCUCUCUCUCUCUCUUGUUAUUCUGUCCAUACUUCCUACCAAGUGUUACUCUAUCUUCCCUUCUGUACCUGUGGUGUUACUGUUGCCCCAUAGACACAGUAUGGCAUGUGCAAGGAUCACACUUAUCUUAAGUAAUGCAAGUAUGAAUACACUAUUUUUGUGAUCCUUAUACUGAUAUUCUUUCUUUGUAGUAAGAACACAAUAUUAUAUUAUGAUUAUAUGUUCACAUUGUAGCUCAUGUUAAAGAGUACUAUUCAUCUGCAGACAAUUGUGAUAAUGUAAAUCAUUGAGAAAACACGUACCUUCUUUUUAGAGUAGCUUGUUAAUAAUUUUCUCGUGGUCUUUGCUUCAAAAGCAAUUUCUGCUAUUCAUUCCAGAUUUUUACUCACAAAGGGAUUCUUUUUGACAUCACAUUCUCACCUCUGAGUGUUAUUUCAUUGUUUCAAAUGCUAUAUAAUUGUUCUUGCUGUAAUGCAAUAAGCUUUAAUGUACAGUUUGAUGUUUGAAGUGUUCAUAUUUAGGAUUACAAAAAAUCCCAGAUAUACUCAGCAAACGACUGCAGCUUCUUAACACGUGCAUGGCUCGGAUAGAGUAGUGUGUACAUAGUGACCGUGUUAGUUCUGUUCUGCAAGAAGCUUACCAUGAAAGUGACGUGAUAAGUAUCUAUACGAGUGGUUGUGGUUGAUGGUGGAAUAAAAACAUGAGAGGUUCCUGGCCUUGUUAAAUACUGGUGGUUGAGCAGCUGUGUGGUCAUUGCUGGGUUCUGUUACUGUGCCACAAGUGCAAAAAACAGUACAGGGGUAUACAUAGAUGUUAUUCAAAUUAUUGGCGUCACACUAAUUCAGCACUAUGGAGACGGAACCUAAAUGGACUUGUUUAUUUACAAGUAUGCUAGUGUGGCAGCAUAUACCUGGUAGCCUUACUCUAAAAUGUCAACAGUAUUUACUGUUAGUGGUAAGUCAGUAUGAAGUUAAUUGUGUAAAUUCUCUUUAUUUUUGUAAAACACUAUUUCCUUCUUCAUAACAUUCUUUAAGUUUUGUUUUUAUAUGAACUGGCUUUUCCACUUAGUCUUACAACUUGAACUUUACAGUUAUUCUAGGAAAUGCAACUUACAGAUUAUAUCACACUAUACUACCUUAAAAAGCUUAUGAAUUAUAUUUAUUCAAUAAUAAAACAUUGAAAUGAAGAAAGCUGUCACACUUUACUUUUAUACCAGGCUGAUAUCCCCAAAUGGUAUUAACAAAAGCAGGAUACCUUGCUUUGUCCCACUGCAGAGUUAUAACUACAGAGGAGAGAUCUAGUGUCCCUCACUGUCCCAUAUUCAUGACACGCAGGGAAUAAGGUAACAGUAUUCUUCCCACACAGUGGCAGGCAGAGCAGCAAGACUGUACCUUAGCCACAGGGAAGUCUCACUAUAUACAAGCUCUAAAAAUUAGCAUAUAAUUAUGCACAGGUACAUAGAAAUAGUGGUGUUAGUGUGUGUAGGCAAGGCAAGGAAUGUGAAGUGAGGGAAAUCAAGGUCCAUAUCUAAGGGAUUUUCAUUAAAUAUGAAAGAAUUAUAGUACAACAAUUCUUGGCAGUUUAGUUAGCAUUUUGAUUUUUGUAAGUUAAUUUUGUAUUUUCUCUCAUCAAAUUGCUCUCCAUUAUUCCUGUUUCAUGUAGCCUUCAAAACAAAAAAUGUUGAAUAUAAAGCAUUUCAGACUGCCAUAGUAACUGCUUGAAAUAUUGUAGUGUACAGAAUCAUGUCAAACCUACCAAGUUAUUAAGCUAAUGUGUAGGCCUAUCAUUCAAGUAAGCUGCUUUGAUGUACAGGCUAUGUCUGCAUUUGGUUCCUGGAAAACUUAUGAUUAGGCAGAAUGAUUAAUUAGGCAGAAUGAUUACAUAAUAUAUUAAUAAUCUAGAUAAAAUACAAUGCAUUCACUGAAACGCUAAACACCUCUAUAUGAAUCUUCAAAACCACAAUUUCUGGCUAGUGGAAUACAAAGACCCAUCUGUAAUAAAAUAUUUUAGUUUUGUUAGCUAUUUAUACAUUUUUAUAUGACUAGUGUUGUCGAGCACAUAAAUUAAUAUACAAUCACCAAUCAUGAAAAUACUAUAUAAUUUUAUGAACUAAUUAAUAGCUGCAUUGGCAACAAAUUUAUAUAAUAGUUAUCUUUUUACCAUCUACGAGAAUGUUCUGUCAUUUGAGUACUGGUGUAGAGGAAUACAGCAUUUUAUUAGUGACCCUUGUAUUCUUUCUUAUUAUUUCGUAUUUACUGUGAUGUAAUAAAAACUGUGCAGGCACUUGUAGACAAAACAGAAAGGAAGGAAAUAUUUGUGCUCACUGUCAUAACCUUUCUGAGCCACAUGAAUUUUGUUUAAAUUGUGUGGAAAGCUCCAAAAAUAGAAUAAUUAAGUUGUAUUGGUUAAGACUCUGAAAGAAAUAUUGUCACUCCUAAGAAGCUGCAGUCAUACAUGUAAAUUGCUAUUAAAUACAUAACUGAGA